CGGUGUUGUUGGAUGCGGCACAGAUGUUUUGGUGUGGUCGACCCCCAAAGGAUUUCCACAUGGCCUGGUUAGGGCUACCCAUAUCGGUGGUGACAGCAAGCACAUGUAGCCCUAUGGAUGCUGCUCUCUCUUUUAAUUCUGUAAUUAUUGGCUUGUAUUCUGCUCCGUUGGUAGAAUUGCCACUGUAAUGAUAUGCCACUACUUGUUUCCAGCGAGUUGUGUUUCCAGCCAACAUAAACACACAAGCAUGUGUUGCUACUCCUGUGUGACCUGGCAAAGUGACAUCACCAUAUAGUUUGCCUGUCAGCAUGUGCAGCUCAACACUUGGAGUGAUUGCCAUUUCAUCCAAGGACAGCACACACUCCCUUUCAAGGGUUCUGAUCGCUGGCAAGGGAAUCUGCAAUUCCUGUAGGGUCUUGUAACCAGUUGGACCGGAUGCAAAGCGAAUUUUUAAUGCCUUCUUAAUUGUUUCAUUGCUCCAUUUCAUACCUUUUGUGACCCAGGUAACUGGCUGAUGGCUCACUGGAAUGCUGACUGGCUGCUGACUGACUUGCUGCAUGCUGACUGGCGGGGAAGCCAUACAUUCGCACACCUUUCUCUGACAGAGUGGAGCAUCCCCAUGCAGCACAGCAAACCAUGUUGGAGACUAUGCAAGAGCAACAUGAAAGAAAGGACACAUACAAAAUGCUUGGCAUGCUAUUCAAUUUAUUAGGAAUGUAUUCAUGAAUUCCUUUAAAUAGUUAAUUGCAUUUAUUUGAAUAAAAAUACAAAGAAAAAGUAAUCUCACAAUAUAUAAUUACAAUUACAUCAUUACUUUUGAAUGGCAGUGUACAUGUUUAUAUAUGAGUAUGCUUAAGUUGUUUUAAACCUGAAUAUAUUGUGUAUACAAAUAAGUAUUGUAAGAAUUAUACAUUAGAUAAAUAAUAUCUAUAAUACACAAUUAUAUUACUAUAUGUAAUUGUAUGAAUUGUAAACAAUAAGCUUCAUUUUACAUUUACUUAACAUGCUAAUUACUGCUGCUUAUAGUUAAUUGACCCCUUGUGCGGUGCGAGCUGAAAAUCAUCUGUCGCCAGCCUGUCUGUACUAUCUGGAAGUCAUAAAGUCAUCAAUAUGACAUUAGUUAACAUGAGAUCAGUGAAAAAAAGAAUAAUGUGUAACAUAAAAAGGCAACAGCAACCCGUGUUUUUACAACUUAACGUUAGCCUGAAAUGAGUUUUUAAAAUAACGGCAAAUAACGGUAACUAAUCCUCAGAAAUGACCUGAUUUUAUAUUUUAAAAACAUCGUUGUAAGUACAUAAUCAUGCUACAUACAUAUGUCGGUGUGUUUUGUAUAAAUAUAUAGAAUAAAAUGCAUUUAUUGACUCCUAAUUACCAGAAAUCGCAGUUCUGUCACUCUUCUCUAUCAGUUUGAAUGGCCGCAAACGAACUUCCUGGAACUAUUUGAAGUCUACAUGAAUCACGUGACAACCAGACAUUUCGAACUUCCGUUGUCGCAACUCUCUCUCUAUAUGGCUCUGAUAUCAUCAACCUCGUAAUGACCAGAAAAAUCACUCUGAGAAAGACAAACACUUGAAUCAGAUGAUGUACUAUCACUUUCCGUAUCUUCAUACAACUCACUUUUAUCUGAUUUUUUUGCGUGUCUAUCAAUCCCAGUUCUACCAGGCUUCCUCCUCUUUAACGGGACUUUAAAAUCUGCCUGCACUGUUUCCAUUGGAAUGACGUCACCUACGCGCUCCACAGCAGGCUGCAGCUCAACAUCGAUAGCAUCGUUUAAAUGCUUCUCCGUCUCAAUAACGGCUCCCCCCUCCUGAACAUUAGACACAACUAAUGUAACAUCAGUAACUGUGCUUUCAGGCGCAGGUUCUUCAGUUACAGCGAUCGCAGGAACACCAUCACUUCUAUCCUCUGAGAUGUGUAACCCUGUCGCUGACUCACCCGGAGUCUCGUCAACCGGCUCCGUUUCAGCACUAACGACAUCGCUUCUGACGUCACCACCACCUGACACAUUGGUUGAAUUUUUCCCGGGACAAUCACGAAUUAAAUGAUUAGUUUGUCCACAACUAAAACAUCUCAUGUUUCCCGAUGUCACGUAAAUGAUGUAAUCAUAGUCAUCCGCCCGAAAGUGCAAAAGACAGAUCCAUAUCAGCAUCAUCAUUCACUACCAUGUAGACAAACCGCCUAAAUGAAACGACAUGCUUCAAUAAAGGCGAUCCACCACCGAUAGGGAUCUUUUUAAUGGGAGAGACAAGUUUUCCAUAGCAAGACAAAGCCUUACCUAGUAUCUCAUCACUUAAAAACGGCGGUACAUUAGAUAGCGUGACUUUCUUUGAAGGUGUUGACAGCGGAAGUACAGCAUUAAACAGAUCGUCAAUAACUAUUCCUGCCUCAACUAAUUCAUUAGCCUUUUCAACAGUACUGAGAAAUACCACAGUGGCAUUAUUCAUCCUGGAGGCAGACAUAAUGUUUUCAUGCCCAACUACCUCUCCUACUGCAAGACAGCACUUCUCUACACUAACCGCGGACGCCACUUUCACGCCAUGACGCCGGGUCAAUGAACCCAAACAACACCGUGCGUGUGGGGCCGUCAUGCUCCCGGUAAGGUGGCACGCGGCCCAAAACAACUACAAAAAAAAACCCAAAUCGCACAAAAAAAAAAAAACAAUCAAACGAAAGACCAGAAAAAAAAGCCAGAAAGAAAGAAGAUUAGAUUUACUCAGACUCACCGAAGAGCUCUCACCCACACGCUCUGCACACUCACGCUCGCACCGGAAGUGAAAGUGAAAGUGAAAGAGAGAGAGAGAGAGAGAGAGCAAGACAGCGCUCGUGUAGUUUGAAGACUGUGAGUGUGCGAGCGCGCGUGAAACUUUGGUGUUUCGCCCUUUUUCUAUCGUGUUUAAUGAUUUUGAUUAAUAUGCACAAGGGAGAGAGAGAGCAAGAAGCGCUCGUGUUGUUUGAAGACUGUGAGUGUGCGCGCGCAGCCGGGCUCUCUCGUACGCGCCCUGUCAGCGCAAAUAAGGCUUUGACAGCCG
Carassius auratus (goldfish) is the source of this 3029-nucleotide long non-coding RNA. The record is from Ensembl. NCBI's taxonomy places the organism in Eukaryota, Metazoa, Chordata, Actinopteri, Cypriniformes, Cyprinidae.